UGGGGAAAGAUUUAUGGUUGGAGAUCCCUUUCUUGUGGUGUUUUUCCUCUGUGACAUGAUCUUCAGAGAUAGGCCUUACCACAGGAAGGUGACGGCAGCCUGCAUGUGGCAAGAAGUUUCUGCUGUUGAGUUGUAGCCAUCAGAAACGUUAUAGAAAGGUGCAUGUAUGAUGGUGCCAGCAGACCUUAGAGGACAAUAAUCUCCAGUGGGAAAGUGGGGAUAAUUUGCUGAAGAAGACUGAAAGCACCUGAAAAACAGUGUGGUGUAAUCUUGUCUGCGCCUCAUGAGCUUCACUGAAUCAACUCAGAAAUCACCCUCUUCAAAAAGCACUUAGGAGUGUCUCAGUCACCCUCCAGAAGGAAAUCCACAUUGACUGCAUAGAGACUGUUCCACCUGCAGACCUUUCACUUCGGUUACAAAAAAAUGUUUUAAAUUCCCUUCUUAAGAUGAAACUGUUACCUAAAUUUAAAUUUGGUGUAAUUUUUUGUAAGUAUUUCAGUGGAAGUAAAUUUUAGUCCCUGUAAUGACUAUUGUAUACUUGCAGAGUAUUGGGAUAAGAAUGUAUGACCUUUCAGGUCUACAGGUUGUUUCCUAUUCAUUUAGUUCUUGAUGGAGUUUGGUCUUUUAGAGAUCAUUUUGAGAUAUUGGUGCCACUAAGCAACCCAAUUGCUGUUUCCAGGCAGUCAAUGAUUAAGUGGUUUAAGAUAGAUAUGAAUUUGUCAUAAAAAGUUACUCCAGUCUGAUGUUAAUUUGACAGCCUGCAGAUUAGGUCCACUAAGAUACUAUUUGAAAUGUGUUGCUUAACUGUCAUGAGAAGCAAAUGCACCAUAAAUACAGGUUUAACUAAAGCAUAGCAUACUGAGGAUUCACUCAAUUUACUAGAUAAACAUCCACUGAACCUGUAAUCAAAUAGCUGUUUGAAAGCUUCUGGAUUAUUUGCAUUUCUAUUUGAAUUUAUUGACAAUGACUUUCCAGUCAGUGGCAUUUCUAUUAUUUUACUGCUUAGUUUUUUAUUUUGUUUCCCCAAUUCAAAACACAGAUUAAAAGAGUAAUUGUGUUUCUCAGCAUCUUUGAAAAGGGGAGGAAACUUCUGAUACUACUUUUUCAUGGAGAAAUCAGAGUGAAUAUAUGGUAGGUGAAUUCCAGAGCUUUGAUCUCUUUACUGCCUAAAUUGGCAGUAAAAAGUGUUGAAGUUUGUUAACACAUUUCUAUGCUAGAAAAUUACUGCUGUCAUCAUGUACUAUUUUCUCCAACAAAAAUGCAUCCUUAAAUGAGGAAUAACUGGUUACCUUCAUCAAAAACAAGCAAACAUUCAGCACAUGCUUCGGAACUUGUCUCCUCUGCCUAUAACUGUAAGAAAGGGUUAUUGCUUAAAUGUCAAUAUUUGCUAUUGUUCCUCCUAUCUGUGCACUUAUUUGUAUACACAGAUGUACCAAGUGCCCAGCUCAGCUGGAGAUGAACAUUUCAGUAACAUAUCUUUGUUUAGAGCUAACAGCAACUCAGAAUACUUUGUGGUCCUGGCCUAUGCAAGAACACUGGUCUGAAUGUGACAAUAGCAUGGACACGCUGCUGGCAGCAGACAGAAAGUCUUCUGCAUAGGGAGGCCUGUGGAACUGCAUGAAGCAAUAGCUGUAGUCUGCUUGUAUUAGGCAUGAAUAUCUCAUAGGAAGGAAUAUGAAAUAUUAUUGAGUAUUGUGAAAGAAUGAAGUGCUGCUGAUGCUAACCUUCUGAUUUUUAGGAAGCAGGCUUCUGAAGAUGAGGUCAGUGAUAUCCUUUUCUCGUUAUCAAGGGAACAGAAAUUAUAAUUAUCUGAGUAUUGCUUCCUCUUCUUUUGCAAGCAGGCAAGGGUAUCAGUUUAUAUUUUUUCAUAUGCUGGUUAGUUCUGUCUCAAAUGGUUUCCUAAGUAAAGCACAAAGUAGCUUCCUACGUUUUGUUGGGUAAAAUUCUAUCUUUAUUUUUUUUUUUAAAUUCUUGUAUGUUAAGAGCAAUAAAAAUUUCUGCCAAACAAUAGCCUGUUUUGAAGAUAAUGUUAUAACAAUUAAAUAAUUUUAAAGAAUUGCAUAUAAAAUGGUUUAGUAAAAAUCAUUAUAAAGCAAACCACAGAGUAAGAAUCACCUGUAUCUACUCAUUUGAAAAAUAUGAGAGAGAAGACAGGUUUUGUUUCUGUUGUGUUGAUCCCUAUGCUUUGAAUGAAUAAUUGGGUGUAUCUAUGAAUAAAUAUGUAGUCAAUAUUAUGGAACAAGAUUUUUGGCACUUGUGAUUUAUUGAAGAAUGUUUGAAGUUGCUUUAGCAGCUCUACCUCAGUCCUGUCCUGAGACCAUGUGAGAAGAGGACAGCUGUGUGAAAAACAACACUUUCAAUAAAAACUUCAUAAGUUCAUGACUGACAACAGGACUGAAGUUCACAGAUUUGUUCAGAAACUACUUCAAAACUUGCCCUCAAGAUACAGGAGAAGAGUGAAAUAGUUGGUGUUAACAUUUCCUGUUAUACUGCCUACAGAUGCCCUGAAGCAAUUUAAUAUGUUA
Non-coding RNA from Meleagris gallopavo (turkey), 2525 nucleotides. NCBI's taxonomy places the organism in Eukaryota, Metazoa, Chordata, Aves, Galliformes, Phasianidae. The record is from RefSeq and is a predicted model, not a curated record.